GAAUAAAAUCACCUCAGCCGAUUGGCAUUUCUGUUGACAUAUGGAGGUCUGCAGUGGGAUGUUCUGGCAUUGAGAAUUGCCAUGCACUGAUGGCUGCUGGUGCUGCGGAUUGUUAGCAUCUACAAUCUUCAUUGAUCUCUACAGAAUCUGUACAUGACUUAAAAUCUUACUAUGUUCCAAAGCUUGGAGCAAAAGGAAAUACAAACACUGAAAGUAUGAAACUAUAAAUAUCAUAAAGAAAACAGCUAAAGAAGGAAUUGUAUUUCAUCUUGAUGUGAACUGAAAUGGACGUGGAUAUACCCUGGAGUCGGUUAUUAAUUCAGACAGAGGAGGCCACCAUCAACUGAUCUUUACAACUGAUCUUUGAAGGAACUUUCAGGAUAGCAAGGUGAAAGUGUUACCUUGCACGCUCUGCAUUAGAGAAUGGUGAAAUCACAUGUUCUCAGCAUAUCCUCCAACUCGGUGAGUGACUGGCUUAAACUUGUUCAUGUUCCUGGUUGGCUUUCAGGAUGUCGUGUACUGCAUAUAUAUGCACUGGGCACUAAUGUUCUGAUACUGGUAAAUACAAUUUAUUUGAUAAUAACCGUGGCAUUAAAUAGACUAACAAGGGACUAUAGAUUAACAGAACAUAAUAAAAUCUAUUCUGAAGGUUUAACCACCUCCAUACUAAUGUCUUGAUGGACAUGAGGCCACAUAGCUGUGAUUUAACUCUCUGAAAAAUGGGUAUAAGCUUCCUAAAGGAGGAGGCUGCGUCUCUCAUUGCCUUCAUUGUCAACCUCUUUGUACCUAGUAAAAUCAAUACCAGCCGCACUGAAGACUUGUUUACCGCCUAUCAUAUUUCAGAUUCAGAACUUCCCAGAGAACCGUCACACUCUUCUGACUGGCAAGAAAGAUGGGAAACAUCAGUCAGUGAGACUGCUCAGUGGUUAGAAGCCCUUGCUGUCAUAGGUUGUCCUGAGCUCUGGCCCCAGCCCCACUGAGUAGAAGGAGAGAACCAACCCCCACAAAUUGUACUCUGGUCUCUUUGACCUCCACUCAUGUGCGCCCCAUGUAUAUACACUUCUCACACACACACACACACACACACACACACACACACACACACACACAUUUUAAGUCACAAAGAUAGAAACCACAUCCUCCAAGUUGUGUCAAGUCAGCUGAGUUUGUAUGUAUAAAAAGAUCAUUUAGUAUACAAUUAUUAUACUUAGAAAAUACUAAACAAAAUUCCAAAUAUAAAGUCAGUAAAAUCAAACCUCUUUACUUCCAAUAUGCACAGAUAAAGGAAUGUGGGCUGGGCACUGGGUGUUUCCUUUCUCUGUAACUGUUGGUUGGUUACACUUUAUUGGGCUGGGAAGGUAAAUGGACCUGUUUUACUUAACAAAGCCAGCUAGUUGUUUUAUGGAAAUUGUCCUUCCGCUUCUAACUCAUCUGAAUGUCAAUGUCAAACUAACAGCUGCACCACUGGGAUGAGAAGGGAAAACUCCUGGUCAGAAGAAGCCCUCUUUCCAUUAAGGCGUGCCCUUCAUGCUUCGCAUUAGCUGCUGUCAACUCAGCUUCUUUCUUCCCGAGAACGGCCAGCUGAUGGAUGCAUGCGGACCGCAUAGCGCUGCGCAGGAACUUGCUUCCUUUUCCAAUCCCUUGCAAGACCUGUGUAUGGAAAAUGACUUUUGACAGGAGCGUGAAGCUAACUUCGGUUUUACUUGGCUAAAGUGUUUCAUUGACAAGAAUGAACAAAUGCCAUAUAGAUCUAGACUUCAGCUACACUUUAAAGGGAAUGACAUCAUCCCAGAGUACGCUGCUGCUAUUUUAGUCCUGGUGGCAAUACAUGGUAGAGUUGCAUUUGGAAGUCAAAAAUUAAGUUAUGUUUGUUAUACCAUUCUAAAUAAUAGCCAUUCACAUCACGUAAAAUAGCAUAAGAAGUAGAAUUAACCAGAAUGGGCACACAGAUAGUCUAUGCUAUAAUACUGAUAGACAUAACCAAGAUAGGCCAGCCUCUCUUCCACUCAAUAGCAGAGGACUAGCACAUUUACAAUGCACGACACUGUUUAGAAUUAUGUUAUGUAUCAGUGGUCAGCUUAGAAUAGAACUAUUGUUGCAACCAUGUGAUCAUAUGUAAUGUAAGUGUUUGACAACAAUAAUCAAUGCAUUUAGUAUAAAACGAAAAUCUGUUAUUUGCUUAUGCUGGUGACAGCUGUUCACAUAAUUUACAAUAAUUAGAUUAUAGUAAAGUCUGGGCAAAGUGACACUUAACAUUUCUUCUUGCUAUCCCCUACACCUUGAAGUGAGCACAUGAUGAAAUUGGAAAAUGUGUAAGAAGAGCAAGUAGUAAUUUUUGAAAGGCUUGGGACAUCUGAGUGAGCAACUUGUGGAGAAACACAGGCUUUGAGAUGAUGAUGGGGUUUAUGGCAAUUUUCUUGGAAGGGACUGUUGUGGAUUUACAGUUGAACAGCAAGGGAAUUUAUCGCAUUCAUAUCCUGAUACAUCUGCCUUUCUCCAGAGAGAUAACACCUUAUAAGAACUAUAACUACUCUUCUCAUUCCCUCAGGGUAAACAUAACGGCAGCAUUUUGAGCUAUUUUCUGAGAAGCUCAUAUGAACUUGGAGCUCAGAAGAGAAAACAUACCUCAAGUGGCCAUUCUGUUAUGAGGAGUGGCUUUUGAGUCUUCCUUGCUCACUAGACUUUCUUGGACCUAUUACUAAACAGGCUUUUUUGCCCACACUAAAUGUUAUCGCUUGAUUUUUCAACCUUAACGUGAAGAACCAGCCACUGGAAUGAAAACACUGAUCUAAGACUUUGUCCUUAUGCUCCUUGAGAGCUUUCAUUUGAUCCUCUUUUGAUACAGCCAUUCCUUCAACCAGACAUAUGUCACUAAAGGCUGAUCAGAAGACGGAAGGUUAUGACACAGUUAAGCUCCUGCUCCAGCACCCUGUGUGCCUGCUU
Molecule: long non-coding RNA, 2943 nt
Organism: Mus musculus (house mouse)
Lineage: Eukaryota; Metazoa; Chordata; Mammalia; Rodentia; Muridae
Product: predicted gene 11820
Exons: 8
Source: RefSeq, a predicted model, not a curated record